RNAcentral lists this small RNA (374 nucleotides) under Histoplasma capsulatum. RNAcentral describes it as "hypothetical RNA". The record is from RNAcentral. Lineage: Eukaryota; Fungi; Ascomycota; Eurotiomycetes; Onygenales; Ajellomycetaceae. RNAcentral also lists the same sequence under 1 other name.
CACCCAGCGCGAACUGUAUUCGACAAAUGUGCGCGACGUAACGUACCUGAGAGUCCACUAACUUGAGCCUGCUGCAAAUUAUGCUCCUUGAAUAGAUUCAGGAUUGUUGCGUAGCAUCACCCUGAGGAGGAGAGGCGGAGGAGGAGGAGAAGAGGAAAUCCUUUGGGUAUCGAAUCCUUUUUUCCUGAUCACCCGCCCGCCGAACAGUCUGCCAGCAGGCCAAAAAACAUCUGCGAAUGAAUCAAUCCCUUGUCUUCAUUUGGGCUCUCUUCCCCGCAAUAGUUAGUUACAUCGGAGAUGAAUUCUGUCCUGCACACACAUUGCAUUCCAUUGCUGAAAAAAGUCAAUCUACGUUCAUUCUAAUUGUUAUCGUG